Long non-coding RNA from Tupaia belangeri chinensis (Chinese tree shrew), 410 nucleotides. RefSeq lists it as uncharacterized. Lineage: Eukaryota; Metazoa; Chordata; Mammalia; Scandentia; Tupaiidae. The record is from RefSeq and is a predicted model, not a curated record. The transcript has 4 exons.
UCAGGAUUUGGGGAAUGCAGGCACAAAUGUGUCUGGUGUGUUUUUGAGGAUGCUGAGACUGGAACUUGCACCUCUGCUGGCCAUGUGGGAUCUGGCUUCCUUAACCACGAGCUUCCAGAUAAGAGCUUUCAUCUGCUACAAAAAAUCUCUGUCAACAGAAUCCACUUGAUCAAAGCGUUUUUGUCAGUUAUUAAAAGAAGGAAAUCCACAAAUGUGUCUAUGAGAAGUUUCUUCCAAUUGCUGUGAAAGUAUACAGCUCCCUCAAACAGAUUAGCUUGGCAUCUGCACCACACUGGGAUUGAGGAAACGAAAACAUAACUAGAAAAUUAUUUGACUGGGGCAAUGGAAUCUGUGUGUGUUUUGGGGCUAUGUCACUUUGUAUGUCACUUUGUAGAAAACUGAAACUAAAG